Non-coding RNA from Sporormia fimetaria CBS 119925, 85 nucleotides. The record is from the annotation of a GenBank genome assembly. Lineage: Eukaryota; Fungi; Ascomycota; Dothideomycetes; Pleosporales; Sporormiaceae.
UCCGUUAUGGUCCAGGGGUUAGGAUUUCUGGUUUUCAGCGCAUUUGAAUACCCAGACGGCCCGAGUUCGAUCCUCGGUAACGGAA